GGGCCGGUAGAUCAGCGGAAGAUCGCUCGCUUGGCGUGCGAGAGGCCUCGGGUUCAAAUCCCGACCGGUCCA
Molecule: transfer RNA, 72 nt
Filed under: Methanosarcinales archaeon
Lineage: Archaea; Methanobacteriati; Methanobacteriota; Methanomicrobia; Methanosarcinales
Also listed under: 1 other name
Description: tRNA-Ala
Rfam family: tRNA
About the family: Transfer RNA (tRNA) molecules are approximately 80 nucleotides in length. Their secondary structure includes four short double-helical elements and three loops (D, anti-codon, and T loops). Further hydrogen bonds mediate the characteristic L-shaped molecular structure. tRNAs have two regions of fundamental functional importance: the anti-codon, which is responsible for specific mRNA codon recognition, and the 3' end, to which the tRNAs corresponding amino acid is attached (by aminoacyl-tRNA synthetases). tRNAs cope with the degeneracy of the genetic code in two manners: having more than one tRNA (with a specific anti-codon) for a particular amino acid; and 'wobble' base-pairing, i.e. permitting non-standard base-pairing at the 3rd anti-codon position.
Source: RNAcentral